RNAcentral lists this ribosomal RNA (464 nucleotides) under Vreelandella stevensii. Its description in RNAcentral is "partial 16S ribosomal RNA". It matches the Rfam family "Bacterial small subunit ribosomal RNA", at positions 338 to 795 of the family's 1533-position model. The record is from RNAcentral. Lineage: Bacteria; Pseudomonadati; Pseudomonadota; Gammaproteobacteria; Oceanospirillales; Halomonadaceae.
CCUACGGACACUGCAGUGGGGAAUAUUGGACAAUGGGCGAAAGCCUGAUCCAGCCAUGCCGCGUGUGUGAAGAAGGCCUUCGGGUUGUAAAGCACUUUCAGUGGGGAAGAAAGCCUUGGGGCUAAUACCCUCGAGGAAGGACAUCACCCACAGAAGAAGCACCGGCUAACUCCGUGCCAGCAGCCGCGGUAAUACGGAGGGUGCGAGCGUUAAUCGGAAUUACUGGGCGUAAAGCGCGCGUAGGCGGUCUGAUAAGCCGGUUGUGAAAGCCCCGGGCUCAACCUGGGAACGGCAUCCGGAACUGUCAGGCUAGAGUGCAGGAGAGGAAGGUAGAAUUCCCGGUGUAGCGGUGAAAUGCGUAGAGAUCGGGAGGAAUACCAGUGGCGAAGGCGGCCUUCUGGACUGACACUGACGCUGAGGUGCGAAAGCGUGGGUAGCAAACAGGAUUAGAUACCCUAGUAGUC